GCAGAACCUUUAAUCACUUGAGAAACAAUCUUAUUCAAAUGGCAGAGCUUCAAUUUGUAUUGCAUUGGUUUCUUGAUUAAGCACAUCGAUGUGGCAUUGUAUGUGAAUUGGUAAAAAUUGUCUAGCAACUAUUCUAGAAAUAUCAACUUGGAGAAAAUUAGCUGCACAGUUCAGGCAUAUCGAUGUGGCAUUGUGUGUGAAUUUGUAACAAUUUUCUAUCAACUAUUCUAGCAGUCAUCUAGAAUGAUUUGGUAAACGUCUAGAAGUCAACAUUCUGUUUUAAAAGAACCUGAACAACAAGACAAGAACCUGAACGACAAGACAAGAAUCUGAACGACAAGACAAGAGCCUGGACGACAAGACAAGAACCUGAACGACAAGACAAGAGCCUGGACGACAAGACAAGAACCUGAACGACAAGACAAGAAUCUGGACGACAAGACAAGAACCUGGACGACAAGACAAGAGCCUGAACGACAAGACAAGAAUCUGGACGACAAGACAAGAACCUGAACGACAAGACAAGAAUCUGAACGACAAGACAAGAACCUGAACGACAAGACAAGAACCUGAACGACAAGACAAGAACCUGAACGACAAGACAAGAAUCUGAACGACAAGACAAGAACCUGAACGACAAGACAGGAACCUGAACGAUUAGCUUGCAGCUUACUUUAAGAAAUUGUUACUUUUGACAAUCUGAACAAAAUUUGAAAAUACUUUAUUUGGGCUUUUUUGAUUUAUUUUUUACCACAAAAGCAGCCGGAUCUAACUUACUGAAAUUAAGUGGAAAAUUUUAAGAAUAUUGUCAGAUUACUUAGAUGCAAGAUUAAAACAGCUUUAGAUGACUAAAACAUCCGAUUUUGUCAUUCUGCUCAUAACAGUAGACGAGGCUACUUGAGUAAGCCUAUGCCAAUUAAAAUGAUAAAUCCGAGGACUAAAAUAUUUAAUGUUAGAGCUCUUCAUAUUAAAGGAAAAUAUUUAAUCAACAUCAUCAAUGAAACUCUAAAACUCUGAUAAUGAAAGGAAUAUCAACUAAAUGGAACGUCGCAAAAUUUCCAUUCACAAAUGUAUUAUUACAAAGCACAAUCUCAAUCAGUCAAUGAGGCUAAAAAAAACAGUUAUCGACUUAUUGCUGAAUCAGCCAUGAAGGCCAACUGUUUUAUUGAAUUGUAAUAUUUUUAAUCAACAUUAUUCCACUCGAUUGAUUAAGAUUAUUUUGUUAUUUAAUUCGGAAGAAUAAUUGACACUAUCGAUUUUCAACUAUCACUGUUAAAAAAAUUGCAACAAAAUUCAUAUCUCUUUGUCUAUUUUUCACAACUCUAUCCUUUGCUUAUACUUUCUCUAUUUUUUGUGCGAAUUUCAUCAAAGAUAUUCACUUGAGAUGAAAACUAUUUCUUCUAUCAAUCAUUCAGUGAUGUGAUCUUAAUAUGAUAAUUUAGCCAAUGAAUGAAACUCAGUUUAUCAACUUUCGGCAUCAUGAAAGCUCUGCUGCACAUGGGUGUUGUCAUGGAUGAUCUGCUUUAAGCGAGAAAUACAUGUUUUAUCAUCGUUUGAAACCUUAAAACUACGAUAAUUACGUAGACCAUGUCAGGUAUUAGAACUGAAAAUGGCUUAGUCAUUUCUGAAUCAUCAACACAUUUUGAAAUCUUGAGUUAAAUUUUAGUACAUAGAAAACGACUUAUAUAAUGUAAAUAGAGGGCACUGCAUAAACAACAAUCUUUAUUGAUAAGUCAUCAGGUGUGUCGCACUGGGCAGGCAAGCUAAGAAUCAACCGUUGCAGCGUUUUAACCACAAUGCAGUUGCUAAUAACAUCCCUUUUCUUUAUUAAAAAAUCUAGCUAAGGACUGAUAGCUUACAUAAAACGAAAAUGAAGCAACUUUUAUGCAUGUACAUAUACCUUUUUAAAUAGGCAAAUAUUCUUCAUUGUUAGUUAAUCUGAGGGAAUCAUGCCUUUGUUGCUAACACUGGGCUAAUACACAACAAUGACUGUGCUGGCUAAACAUCCUCUUUCCAUUUUUGCCAACAAAAGCAUGCCUGGGUUAAGAAGGUUUUGUGCUUUUUCCACACAGAAAUUUGUCUUCACGAAGUUUAAAAAUAAAAAGAUGCCAAUCAAAAUGUUGCAAAAUUUAUGGCCAUUCAAUGGAAACUAUGGUUUUGCAUGUAAACCAAUAUUAAGAUCUUCUUAAUUUCAACACAAUCUCAGUGAUGUUUCUUCGCAGACAAUGUGCCUAUGAUUUUUAUAAACAAGCAAAGCAAUUGAAAAUCACCGUUUGAAUGCGUUUCCUGUGGGCUUUUGCAUUGCUCAACGUAGGAAAAUUGA
This is a long non-coding RNA of Rhopilema esculentum, 2323 nucleotides long. RefSeq lists it as uncharacterized. The record is from RefSeq and is a predicted model, not a curated record. NCBI's taxonomy places the organism in Eukaryota, Metazoa, Cnidaria, Scyphozoa, Rhizostomeae, Rhizostomatidae.